GCGGGGGUUGCCAAGCCCGGUCAACGGCGUGAGAUCAGACAGAUGUGUCGACACGACGCUCAGAUGUUAUAGCCUGACUGAGGUACCUCAUCUCUUAGGGGUUCGUGGGUUCAAAUCCCACCUCCCGCA
This 129-nucleotide transfer RNA is filed under the name Nitrososphaerota archaeon. Its description in RNAcentral is "Thaumarchaeota archaeon tRNA-OTHER". It matches the Rfam family "tRNA". Rfam says of the family: Transfer RNA (tRNA) molecules are approximately 80 nucleotides in length. Lineage: Archaea; Thermoproteati; Nitrososphaerota. The record is from RNAcentral.